UACGAAGGGGGCUAGCGUUGUUCGGAUUUACUGGGCGUAAAGCGCACGUGGGCGGAUCUUUAAGUCAGGGGUGAAAUGCCAAGGCUCAACCUUGGAACUGCCUCUGAUACUGGAGAUCUUGAGUUCGGGAGAGGUGAGUGGAACUGCGAGUGUAGGGGUGAAAUUCGUAGAUAUUCGCAAGAACACCAGUGGCGAAGGCGGCUCACUGGCCCGAUACUGACGCUGAGGUGCGAAAGCGUGGGGAGCAAACAGG
This 253-nucleotide ribosomal RNA is filed under the name uncultured bacterium. RNAcentral's name for it is "partial 16S ribosomal RNA". It matches the Rfam family "Bacterial small subunit ribosomal RNA", at positions 524 to 776 of the family's 1533-position model. The record is from RNAcentral.